UGGGGAAUUUUGGACAAUGGGCGCAAGCCUGAUCCAGCCCUGCCGCGUGUCUGAAGAAGGCCUUCGGGUUGUAAAGGACUUUUGUCAGGGAAGAAAAGGCUGUCGCUAAUACCGACAGCUGAUGACGGUACCUGAAGAAUAAGCACCGGCUAACUACGUGCCAGCAGCCGCGGUAAUACGUAGGGUGCGAGCGUUAAUCGGAAUUACUGGGCGUAAAGCGAGCGCAGACGGUUACUUAAGCAGGAUGUGAAAUCCCCGGGCUCAACCUGGGAACUGCGUUCUGAACUGGGUGACUAGAGUGUGUCAGAGGGAGGUAGAAUUCCACGUGUAGCAGUGAAAUGCGUAGAGAUGUGGAGGAAUACCGAUGGCGAAGGCAGCCUCCUGGGAUAACACUGACGUUCAUGCUCGAAAGCGUGGGUAGCAAACAGGAUUAGAUACCCUGGUAGUCCACGCCCUAAACGAUGUCAAUUAGCUGUUGGGCAACUUGAUUGCUUAGUAGCGUAGCUAACGCGUGAAAUUGACCGCCUGGGGAGUACGGUCGCAAGAUUA
This 549-nucleotide ribosomal RNA is filed under the name uncultured bacterium. RNAcentral describes it as "bacterial SSU rRNA". It matches the Rfam family "Bacterial small subunit ribosomal RNA", at positions 355 to 896 of the family's 1533-position model. The record is from RNAcentral.